UCAGCCCGCUCUCAGACCACGAACCCGUCUCUACUAAGCAGUUUGAAGGCAGAUCCUCUCAAACUUAACCUCCAUCAACAACAGCUUCAUGGUCUGGAACCCGCCGGAGUUCGUCAGGGAUUGUAUGGAUGAUGGGGAAACCAUGAGAAAAGAGAAGAAACAUUAGUGUGAAUCCUGAAAUCCUGUUCGAUAUCAUGUCCCAGUAGGUUGUUAAGAGAUUUCAGGCAAAUAGGCUUGAAGUGCGAAGUGUUAGAUGUGUUUUUUUUUGGGUUGCCCAAGCUCGAUCUGCUCCGACUCAUUCACCCUGCUCCCUCUGAACUUUAGCUUUCGCAUAAGAGGAAGGUGACAGUUCAGGAGUUCAAGGGGAAACCAUUGGUGUCGUUGAGGGAGUUUUUUACUAAAGAAGGCAAGGAGCUCCCUACUUCUAAAGGUGGAGUAUUAUUUCAGUGAUCUGAACUUAGCUACUACUGAUCAUCUUAUGAGGUUCAUAAACAAAGACCCUGAAGGAUUUGUGCCAAUAUCUGUUGUUGCAUCUUUCAAGAAGAUUAAGGCCCUCGUAAGUAGUCAUUCCUAGCUUGCAACUGUAUUGCGGAACUCCUCAAGGCUUGU
RNAcentral lists this long non-coding RNA (609 nucleotides) under Rosa chinensis. Its description in RNAcentral is "sRNA RchiOBHm_Chr5g0064631". Lineage: Eukaryota; Viridiplantae; Streptophyta; Magnoliopsida; Rosales; Rosaceae. The record is from RNAcentral.